GCGAAUGCUGACAUGAGUAACGAGACGAGUGUGAGAAACACUCGCGCCGAAAGUCCAAGGGUUCCUGCUUAAAGCUAAUCUGAGCAGGGUAAGCCGGCCCCUAAGCCGAGGCCGAAAGGCGUAGGCGAUGGGAACCACGUUAAUAUUCGUGGGCCAGGAGGAUGUGACGGAUCAUGAAGGUUGUUCGCCCUUAUCGGAUUGGGCGGGCCGCUGAUUGGUCCCUGGAAAUAGCCCUCCAUGAGACCGUACCCUAAACCGACACAGGUGGACUGGUAGAGAAUACCAAGGCGCUUGAGAGAACGAUGUUGAAGGAACUCGGCAAAAUACCUCCGUAAGUUCGCGAGAAGGAGGCCCGGUUCUGAGGUAACUUGGAGCUGGGGGCACAAACCAGGGGGUGGCGACUGUUUAUUAAAAACACAGGGCUCUGCGAAGUCGCAAGACGACGUAUAGGGUCUGACGCCUGCCCGGUGCCUGAAGGUUAAAAGGAGGGGUGAGAGCUCUGAAUUGAAGCCCAGGUAAACGGCGGCCGUAACAAUAA
This 538-nucleotide ribosomal RNA is filed under the name Protocruzia adhaerens. RNAcentral's name for it is "Protocruzia adherens partial Bacterial large subunit ribosomal RNA". It matches the Rfam family "Bacterial large subunit ribosomal RNA", at positions 1290 to 1945 of the family's 2925-position model. The record is from RNAcentral. Lineage: Eukaryota; Ciliophora; Spirotrichea.